GCGUCUGUAGUCCAACGGUUAGGAUAAUUGCCUUCCAAGCAAUUGACCGGUUCAGCUCAGCAGACGCA
This is a non-coding RNA of Datura stramonium (jimsonweed), 68 nucleotides long. NCBI's taxonomy places the organism in Eukaryota, Viridiplantae, Streptophyta, Magnoliopsida, Solanales, Solanaceae. The record is from the annotation of a GenBank genome assembly.